RNAcentral lists this ribosomal RNA (433 nucleotides) under uncultured bacterium. Its description in RNAcentral is "partial 16S ribosomal RNA". It matches the Rfam family "Bacterial small subunit ribosomal RNA", at positions 29 to 507 of the family's 1533-position model. The record is from RNAcentral.
AACGAACGCUGGCGGCAGGCUUAACACAUGCAAGUCGAGCGAGACCUUCGGGUCUAGCGGCGGACGGGUGAGUAACGCGUGGGAACGUGCCCUUCUCUACGGAAUAGCCCCGGGAAACUGGGAGUAAUACCGUAUACGCCCUUUGGGGGAAAGAUUUAUCGGAGAAGGAUCGGCCCGCGUUGGAUUAGGUAGUUGGUGGGGUAAUGGCCCACCAAGCCGACGAUCCAUAGCUGGUUUGAGAGGAUGAUCAGCCACACUGGGACUGAGACACGGCCCAGACUCCUACGGGAGGAAGCAGUGGGGAAUCUUAGACAAUGGGGGCAACCCUGAUCUAGCCAUGCCGCGUGAGUGAUGAAGGCCUUAGGGUUGUAAAGCUCUUUCAGCUGGGAAGAUAAUGACGGUACCAGCAGAAGAAGCCCCGGCUAACUCCGUG